This 1025-nucleotide ribosomal RNA is filed under the name Periconia sp. KT 1820A. RNAcentral's name for it is "SSU rRNA". It matches the Rfam family "Eukaryotic small subunit ribosomal RNA", at positions 68 to 1104 of the family's 1831-position model. RNAcentral also lists the same sequence under 1 other name. The record is from RNAcentral. Lineage: Eukaryota; Fungi; Ascomycota; Dothideomycetes; Pleosporales; Periconiaceae.
AGCAUUAUACCGUGAAACUGCGAACGGCUCAUUAAAUCAGUUAUCGUUUAUUUGAUAGUACCUUACUACUUGGAUAACCGUGGUAAUUCUAGAGCUAAUACAUGCUAAAAACCCCAACUUCGGGAGGGGUGUAUUUAUUAGAUAAAAAACCAAUGCCCUUCGGGGCUCUCUGGUGAUUCAUAAUAACUUCUCAGAUCGCAUGGCCUUGCGCCGGCGACGGUUCAUUCAAAUUUCUGCCCUAUCAACUUUCGAUGGUAAGGUAUUGGCUUACCAUGGUUUCAACGGGUAACGGGGAAUUAGGGUUCGAUUCCGGAGAGGGAGCCUGAGAAACGGCUACCACAUCCAAGGAAGGCAGCAGGCGCGCAAAUUACCCAAUCCCAAUACGGGGAGGUAGUGACAAUAAAUACUGAUACAGGGCUCUUUAGGGUCUUGUAAUUGGAAUGAGUACAAUUUAAACCUCUUAACGAGGAACAAUUGGAGGGCAAGUCUGGUGCCAGCAGCCGCGGUAAUUCCAGCUCCAAUAGCGUAUAUUAAAGUUGUUGCAGUUAAAAAGCUCGUAGUUGAACCUUUGGCCUGGCUGGCGGGUCCGCCUCACCGCGUGCACUCGUCCGGCCGGGCCUUUUCUUCUGGAGAACCGCAUGCCCUUCACUGGGUGUGUUGGGGACCAGGACUUUUACUUUGAAUAAAUCAGAGUGUUCAAAGCAGGCAUUUGCUCGAAUACGUUAGCAUGGAAUAAUAGAAUAGGACGUGCGGUCUUAUUUUGUUGGUUUCUAAGACCGCCGUAAUGAUUAAUAGGGACAGUCGGGGGCAUCAGUAUUCAAUUGUCAGAGGUGAAAUUCUUGGAUUUAUUGAAGACUAACUACUGCGAAAGCAUUUGCCAAGGAUGUUUUCAUUAAUCAGUGAACGAAAGUUAGGGGAUCGAAGACGAUCAGAUACCGUCGUAGUCUUAACCAUAAACUAUGCCGACUAGGGAUCGGGCGGUGUUAUUAUUUUGACUCGCUCGGCACCUUACGAGAAAUCAAAGU